This 442-nucleotide ribosomal RNA is filed under the name uncultured bacterium. RNAcentral's name for it is "partial 16S ribosomal RNA". It matches the Rfam family "Bacterial small subunit ribosomal RNA", at positions 338 to 795 of the family's 1533-position model. The record is from RNAcentral.
CCUACGGGAGGCAGCAGUGGGGGAUAUUGCACAAUGGGGGAAACCCUGAUGCAGCGACGCCGCGUGGGCGAAGAAGUAUUUCGGUAUGUAAAGCCCUAUCAGCAGGGACGAAGAAAUGACGGUACCCGAGUAAGAUGCAUCGGCUAAAGAGGGGCCAGCAGCCGCGGUAAUACGUAUGGUGCAAGCGUUAUCCGGCUUUACUGGGUGUAAAGGGAGCGCAGGCGGCACGGCAAGCCUGAUGUGAAAGCCCGCGGCCCAACCGAGGGACUGCAUUGGGAACUGCCGGGCUGGAGUGCCGGAGAGGUCGGCGGAAUUCCUAGUGUAGCGGUGAAAUGCGUAGAUAUUAGGAGGAACACCAGUGGCGAAGGCGGCCUACUGGACGGUGACUGACGCUGAGGCUCGAAAGCGUGGGGAGCAAACAGGAUUAGAUACCCCUGUAGUC